ACUGCAGUUUCAGCCGGGAACCCCUCCCCUCGUCCUCCUGACGUCGCCGCUGACAAGCGCACAAUUCACUCCCAACGCCCCGAAACCCGCGGUUUUGCACCGAGCUGUGCGGUGGACGCGAAUAUACAACCGAUUACAAAGAACAUUCCUCAGGAGCCUCGCGGGGCCCGAGUUUGUGGGAAGGAGCGGGAGGAGGGAGGGACCGAGACGCGGCGGGAGCCCGGCCGACCACCGCCCCGGAACCGGGGCCCGGGCUGGGGCCCUUUCCGCGUAAAGACGGCGAGGGAGGUGCCCGGGGGACGCGGACCGUGGCCGUGCGCAGCGCCGCGGUCGCCACUGCCGGGGGGCGGGGGCGGGGGCGGGGGGGGCGCUCGGCUCGGCGGGGUCGGGGCCCGGGAGCGCGGACGCCGCGCCGGCAAGCCCUGGAGAAGACCGUCCCCAAACUUCUGGAGACCCGCUUGCAGUUUCGCUUUCGGAAUUUUCGGGAUCUUCGGGUUUCCAGAGUUGGGUGGCAUUCCGGGAAUUGCAGGGCGCCAGGCGCGGGCCGUGCGGAUGCUCGGGGCGGACUCCUCACCACCCCCCGCGCCCCCUCGCUUGCGCCCCCGGACCCCGCGCGCGCGCGCUCCAGGGUUUGGGGCUCCCAGCCCCGCGCGCGCAGCGAGAGCCCCGGCCGCGGAGAGCGCCCGCCCCGGCGGAUCCCAGCCCACUGGUGGGAGUCCGCGUUCGACCAGGGCAGACCCUUCCCCGAAUCCGGAUCCAUCGCCGCUGCCCUCCAGUUUUCCCUCACCCCUCCACCCCCCACACCGAGGCCGAGCGACCUGGGGGACCGAUUGGCGUGUCUACACCAAGCCCGUGGAUCCAGGUUUCACCAGGUCGGAGAAAACGCGACAACAGGCUUACAUUUUGGCACCGCGUUCUGGGGGAGGCCAGGUUGGGGGUGGGGAGGGAGGUGGAGCGGGUGCAGAGGCGGAGGGGAGAGGCCUUGGUGUCCAGAAGGAAUUGUUGCCCAGGCUCUCCCUUGCAGAUAGGAGAUCUGCUACUUUCUCCCUAGUAAGCAUUAAAUUGGCACACACGCUGCUUCCUCCCUUCCAUAAAUAA
Molecule: long non-coding RNA, 1098 nt
Filed under: Canis lupus familiaris (dog)
Lineage: Eukaryota; Metazoa; Chordata; Mammalia; Carnivora; Canidae
Description: lncRNA (ENSCAFG00040000368.1)
Source: RNAcentral